Molecule: transfer-messenger RNA, 386 nt
Filed under: bacterium
Lineage: Bacteria
Rfam family: transfer-messenger RNA
About the family: Bacterial tmRNA, also known as 10Sa RNA or SsrA, is named for its dual tRNA and mRNA-like properties.
Source: RNAcentral
GGGGCUGAUUUAGUUUUAGACAAAAGGAUUUUAAUAAUUUAUCUUGCAAGUCGGUUACUCGUAAAGUAAUAAAUAAUUGCAAAAUCUAAUUUUGUAGCAAAAGCUAAGGCUCUUUUUGCGCCUAAGGUAGCUUUUGCGCCAAUCGCCGCUUAGUUAAUUGGCGAUCAUUGGUUUAUGUAUUUCAGUAGAUAUAUAAACCGGUGCUAUUUUUAAUACUGAUAGCUCAAUAUGAUAGGUAGCAGCCUUUGAGUGAAAAUUUAGCUACGACUUUUGAUGUAUUUUUGCUUAUAUUUUAAGCAUCAAAUUUUAUUCUAAAAUAAGCUAAGCUUGUAGAUAGGUAAAUUAUUACCUUUUGGACCCGAGGGCAGUUCUCGGCAGCUCCACCA